UCCGAGUUGACCCCGGCAGUCUUCGAUGAGUCCCCGCCAUAACGCGCUGGCAACAUCGAACGAGGGUUGCGCUCGUUGCGGGACUUAACCCAACAUCUCACGACACGAGCUGACGACAGCCAUGCAGCACCUGUGCAGGGACUCCGAAGAGGGGCCCCGGUUUCUCGAGGCUUUCCCCUGCAUGUCAAGCCCAGGUAAGGUUCUUCGCGUUGCGUCGAAUUAAACCACAUACUCCACCGCUUGUGCGGGCCCCCGUCAAUUCCUUCGAGUUUUAGCCUUGCGGCCGUAGUCCCCAGGCGGAGCACUUAUCGCGUUAGCUGCGCUACCGGAGGGGUCGAUACCCCCGACAGCUAGUGCUCAUCGUUUACGGCGUGGACUAC
This 380-nucleotide unclassified non-coding RNA is filed under the name uncultured bacterium. RNAcentral describes it as "contains 16S-23S intergenic spacer region". The record is from RNAcentral.